Molecule: long non-coding RNA, 270 nt
Filed under: Triticum aestivum (bread wheat)
Lineage: Eukaryota; Viridiplantae; Streptophyta; Magnoliopsida; Poales; Poaceae
Description: long non-coding RNA (TAES_LNC012901)
Source: RNAcentral
AGCACACCGCAAGCAAAGGGUAUUCUUCAUAUGCCUUCAAACCGUGAAUUGUCGCACAAGAUCGUGAUGGCGGCCGGGCAGGCUGCCAUGGCUCCUGCUCAGGUUUUACCACUGUCCAUGAAACCUCCAGCACUGUCCAUGAAACCUCCAGCGCCACCGUCGGGGACGGAGAAGGAAGCCGCGACGAGCAGCACGACACUGAAUCUUUAGAAAACAUCCAUGGUGCAGGUGACUGCUUGCAUUGCAUGCAGGCCGUCAAUCUCUGAUUAC